RNAcentral lists this ribosomal RNA (405 nucleotides) under uncultured bacterium. Its description in RNAcentral is "bacterial SSU rRNA". It matches the Rfam family "Bacterial small subunit ribosomal RNA", at positions 354 to 776 of the family's 1533-position model. The record is from RNAcentral.
GUGGGGAAUAUUGGACAAUGGGCGCAAGCCUGAUCCAGCCAUGCCGCGUGAGUGAUGAAGGCCCUAGGGUUGUAAAGCUCUUUCAGUGGGGACGAUAAUGACGGUACCCACAGAAGAAGCCCCGGCUAACUUCGUGCCAGCAGCCGCGGUAAUACGAAGGGGGCUAGCGUUGUUCGGAAUUACUGGGCGUAAAGCGCACGUAGGCGGAUAUUUAAGUCAGGGGUGAAAUCCCGGGGCUCAACCCCGGAACUGCCUUUGAUACUGGAUAUCUUGAGUUCGGAAGAGGUAAGUGGAAUUGCGAGUGUAGAGGUGAAAUUCGUAGAUAUUCGCAGGAACACCAGUGGCGAAGGCGGCUUACUGGUCCGAUACUGACGCUGAGGUGCGAAAGCGUGGGGAGCAAACAGG